RNAcentral lists this transfer-messenger RNA (354 nucleotides) under Bacilli. RNAcentral's name for it is "CAG-1000 sp004552445 Standard tmRNA". It matches the Rfam family "transfer-messenger RNA". From Rfam's summary of the family: Bacterial tmRNA, also known as 10Sa RNA or SsrA, is named for its dual tRNA and mRNA-like properties. Its role is to liberate the mRNA from a stalled ribosome. To accomplish this part of the tmRNA is used as a reading frame that ends in a translation stop signal. Lineage: Bacteria; Bacillati; Bacillota. The record is from RNAcentral. RNAcentral also lists the same sequence under 1 other name.
GGGGAUGCAUUGAUUCGACAGGAUUAUGUCUGGGUAGAAUGCAAGUAGUAGGCAUACUAUAAAUGCAAAAACUAAAAUAAUCGGAAACGAUUUCAAUUUUUCUCCAUCUUUUGCUUAAGUUAAGUAAAACGGAGCUUCCACUUUUAACUUUUGUUCACGAGUUUUAAGAGGGGAGUCAUAAAGUGAACUAUAUUAUAAAUUUGUUUGUGAUUUAUAAUGAAUGAAUAGCAAACUUAGAAUAAUAAGAGAAGUUGGCAAUCUACAUUAUUAUUUGAAUUUAAAAACCAACUAAACUUGUAGAAAUUCUACUGGGAUGAAUCUUGGACAGGAGUUCGCUACUCCUCAUCUCCACCA